UGAUCAUGGCUCAGAUUGAACGCUGGCGGCAGGCCUAACACAUGCAAGUCGAGCGGAAACGAGUUAWCWGAACCUUCGGGGRASGAUARCGGCGUCGAGCGGCGGACGGGUGAGUAAUGCCUAGGAAAUUGCCCUGAUGUGGGGGAUAACCAUUGGAAACGAUGGCUAAUACCGCAUGAUGCCUACGGGCCAAAGAGGGGGACCUUCGGGCCUCUCGCGUCAGGAUAUGCCUAGGUGGGAUUAGCUAGUUGGUGAGGUAAGGGCUCACCAAGGCGACGAUCCCUAGCUGGUCUGAGAGGAUGAUCAGCCACACUGGAACUGAGACACGGUCCAGACUCCUACGGGAGGCAGCAGUGGGAAUAUUGCACAAUGGGCGCAAGCCUGAUGCAGCCAUGCCGCGUGUGUGAAGAAGGCCUUCGGGUUGUAAAGCACUUUCAGUCGUGAGGAAGGUAGUGUAGUUAAUAGCUGCAUUAUUUGACGUUAGCGACAGAAGAAGCACCGGCUAACUCCGUGCCAGCAGCCGCGGUAAUACGGAGGGUGCG
RNAcentral lists this ribosomal RNA (542 nucleotides) under Salmonella enterica subsp. enterica serovar Typhi. RNAcentral describes it as "bacterial SSU rRNA". Lineage: Bacteria; Pseudomonadati; Pseudomonadota; Gammaproteobacteria; Enterobacterales; Enterobacteriaceae. The record is from RNAcentral.